GCGAGGGUGGCGGAAUUGGUAGACGCGCUGGCUUCAGGUGCCAGUGCUGGAAACAGCGUGAGGGUUCGAGUCCCUCUCCUCGUACCA
This 87-nucleotide transfer RNA is filed under the name Myxococcota bacterium. Its description in RNAcentral is "tRNA-Leu". It matches the Rfam family "tRNA". From Rfam's summary of the family: Transfer RNA (tRNA) molecules are approximately 80 nucleotides in length. Their secondary structure includes four short double-helical elements and three loops (D, anti-codon, and T loops). Lineage: Bacteria; Pseudomonadati; Myxococcota. The record is from RNAcentral.